Molecule: long non-coding RNA, 1548 nt
Filed under: Fragaria vesca (wild strawberry)
Lineage: Eukaryota; Viridiplantae; Streptophyta; Magnoliopsida; Rosales; Rosaceae
Description: long non-coding RNA (FVES_LNC002340)
Source: RNAcentral
GACGAUAUUUAAAUACUAUAUUCGUCGGCUAUAGUAUUUUUAAUUUUUUUUUAUUAAGGUUUAGCCGACGAAUUAUGGCAUGUUUCGUCGGCUAUAGUUAUUUUUUUAUAUUUUUUUAUAAGGUUUAGCCGACGAAAUAUAGUAAAUUUCGUCGGCUAUAGUUAUUUUUUUAAAUUUUUUUUAUAAGGUUUAGCCGACGAAAUAUAGUAAAUUUCGUCGGCUAUAGUUAUUUUUUUAAAUUUUUUUAUAAGGUUUAGCCGACGAAAUAUAGUAAAUUUCGUCGGCUAUAGUUAUUUUUUAAUUAUUUAUUACACACUUUAGCCGACGAAUAUCUUAAUUGUUUCGUCGGCUAAAGUCUGGGAAAAAAACCGACGACAUGUUUUUCGUCGGCUAACUGUGGGACUAUAGCCGAUGAAAAAAAAAAUUUUGUCGGCUAAAGUCAUCACCGACGACCUUUUCCCGACGACACUAUAGCCGACGAAUUAAGAUAACAGGCCGACGAAAAUUUUUCGUCGGCUAAAGUGUUUGUCCUGGUAGUGAAUGUUUCACAAACUCAUUUUCAAAUAUUGUUUUACAAAACAAAAACAAUGAAUCGUAUUUGGUAUUUUGUGAACUUGAGAAUGUGUUCGGCAUUAUCUUCAGAAUAUCUGUUUUUGUUGAAACACAGUAUUAACAUAUAAAUAUAUAUAUAUAUAUAUAUGAAAGAUUUAUCGUGUUCCUCUCUGCACCUAUCACUUUCAAUACUCUCUCUCUCUCUCUUACCUCAUCUGUCCUCACUUUGCAACAAAGCAUGCCAAAGACAAAUAUUAAACCCAGAUUCAUAAACCCAAAUAUCCCAAACCCAAUUUCAGAUUUUCUAUCCAAAGCAAGCGGUAGUUCUCCCUAUUUUUAUACCAAUUAACCCACAUGAUCCAGACAUGUGAGAUUAUGCAAAUCAUUCUUAUUAUCAAAUAUCAAUUCGACUCGUAGUGAGUCCAAUUUUAAAAAGAAACUGGACAAGAAGGAAACUUUGCGGUCCUUGACCUCUCUCUCUUGAUAAACAAGGGUAUAUGAUCUAACAGAUCAGCAAAGCAAUCAUAGAAAGUUAAAGAGGAAGUUAGAGGAAGAGAUUGGUAAGUGAAAGAACUGUAGGAGAACAAGGGUUGUGGGGAGAGAGUAAAUCGAAAGAGCUAGCUUUGAGUCUUUGACUGUAUGUUUCUUUGCUUCUUUGACUGUGAUCGUAUUCAUAAAACAAGCAAAACGAGAAAAAGACCGUUUCCAAAAUAUACAUGGAGGUCAGAGUUGUGCUCUGAGAACAAUUCUCCGUGUUUUCAAGAUUCGCCGCAACAAACGCGUAUUCUGUUUGUUUCUAAAUUCGUAAUACGGAAAACAUUAUUAGGUAUCUCCGACAGUUGGUCUAAAACUUAAAUCUAUAGGUUUGCAUCUCGAACCCAUAAAAAAACCUAUUUAAUCAUUUUAUAUCAUCGUUUAAUCACAUAGAGUGAAAUCCAAAUCUAUUUUAAUAAUUAAUCAUUUUAUAUCAUUGUUAACUAUUUUAUAUUGAUAAAA